Molecule: ribosomal RNA, 325 nt
Filed under: uncultured Streptomyces sp.
Lineage: Bacteria; Bacillati; Actinomycetota; Actinomycetes; Kitasatosporales; Streptomycetaceae
Description: bacterial SSU rRNA
Rfam family: Bacterial small subunit ribosomal RNA
Source: RNAcentral
CGAACGCUGGUCGCGUGCUUAAAGAUGCAAGUCGAACGAUGAAGCCCUUCGGGGUGGAUUAGUGGUCGACCGGGUGAGUAACACGUGGGCAAUCUGCCCUGCACUCUGGGACAAGCCCUGGAAACGGGGUCUAAUACCGGAUAUGAUCACCGGCCGCAUGGUCUGGUGAUGGAAAGCUCCGGCGGUGCAGGAUGAGCCCGCGGCCUAUCAGCUUGUUGGUGGGGUGAUGGCCUACCAAGGCGACGACGGGUAGCUGGUCUGAGAGGACGAUCAGCCACACUGGGACUGAGACACGGCCCAGACUCCUACGGGAGGCAGCAGUGGG